GAUGAAGAAACGCAGCGAAAUGCGAUAAGUAAUGUGAAUUGCAGAAUUCAGUGAAUCAUCGAAUCUUUGAACGCAUCUUGCGCUCCUUGGUAUUCUGAGGAGCAUGCCUGUUUGAGUGUCAUUAAAUUCUCAACUACACUGACUUUGAAUUGGUGUGGCUUGGAUUUGGGGGGAAAAUUGUUGUGGGCUUUUUGUAUAGUCUGCUCCCCUGAAAUUGAUUAGCGGUACCUUUGUGGAACUGUCUACAGGUGUGAUAAUUAUCUACAUCUUAGACAUCUGCUGGAAUGCUGCUUUCUAAACCUUACUUGUAUUGACAAUCUUGACCUCAAAUCAGGUAGGACUACCCGCUGAACUUAAGCAUAUCAAUAAGCGGAGGA
Molecule: unclassified non-coding RNA, 377 nt
Filed under: soil metagenome
Description: partial contains 5.8S ribosomal RNA, internal transcribed spacer 2, and large subunit ribosomal RNA
Rfam family: 5.8S ribosomal RNA (bases 1-121)
Source: RNAcentral